RNAcentral lists this unclassified non-coding RNA (328 nucleotides) under soil metagenome. RNAcentral describes it as "partial contains 5.8S ribosomal RNA, internal transcribed spacer 2, and large subunit ribosomal RNA". The stretch from base 5 to 119 matches the Rfam family "5.8S ribosomal RNA", at positions 40 to 154 of the family's 154-position model. The record is from RNAcentral.
GAUGAGAACGUAGCGAAAUGCGAUAAGUAGUGUGAAUUGCAGAAUUCAGUGAAUCAUCGAAUCUUUGAACGCACAUUGCGCCCCUUGGUAUCCCGAGGGGCAUGCCUGUUCGAGCGUCAUUUCACCACUCAAGCCUGGCUUGGUGUUGGGCGACGUCCCCUUUGGGGACGCGCCUCGAAACGCUCGGCGGCGUGGCACCGGCUUUAAGCGUAGCAGAAUCUUUCGCUUUGGAAGUCGGGGCCCCGUCUGCCGGAAGACCUACUCGCAAGGUUGACCUCGGAUCAGGCAGGGAUACCCGCUGAACUUAAGCAUAUCAAUAAGCGGAGGA